UCCCAGUGAAGGGCCUUCAGUGACCAAUGCUAUGGUUAGGGUAUCGCCAAAAAGGGACAGACUCAAGUACUUUUCCUCUGGAGCACACUUACCUCCGAGUUGACACCGUCUGAGGGGUUGAUACCUGCAUACUGGAUGAGAAGAAUGAAAAUCAGUGCUCAUCCUUCCUGCCCAGCCCUAGUGCCCACCUGGAAGUUCUCCCAUAGCUGAAUUACCUCUUAGUGACAGACGGGAUGAGACCCCCAUCUAGUGGCACCUUCCCAGUGUCUCGUGGUCACUGAACUCAAGGCUAUCAACCACACUGAUCUGGCGCCCUCAUUGGAGCCUCUGGCUGAUAGUGCCCUCAGUGUGCCUCAGUGAGGAUCACAGGCGUGUGCCAAGUGCGUCCUGUGACCGGCAGUGGCCCUGGCACGUAGAUGACACGCCAUCCACAGAACACUCAUCGUUACCAGAGACAAAGGACUAGGUAGCGGAGAGGAGAAGAGACCACCCCAGUCAGUGUAAUGGCCUCCCCUGAACCUGUGGGCUACACCUCAGUCAACCGGACUCACCCACGACUCCUUUCUAGUCUUCUGCCCUGGCGGAGAACUGUCCUCUGGGGCCUCCACCUUCCACACCAGGCCGGAAUGCAGGGGCCUUCAGGAAAGAACGGCCGCCCUUUGAAUCCCUGCUCACCAGAUGCCCGAGAGGAACUGCGGGAGUCUUGCUCAUGGCUCUCUUCCUGGUCCAGCACUGGGGAGAAUACCUCUGGGAAGAAGGCAUUCCUCCGCUCUUCAGCUACCUCUCGCUCCCUCCGCAGGACGCUCUCCACCUCCCUCUCCAGCAGGCUUCCCAGGAGGCUUGGACCACUCUUGUUUUGAGCUCAGAGAUCUUCUGGAGGAUUCUGAAACAUGCCUUGGAGACUCUGUGGUGUUCCGGAAGGCUGUGGCUUUGGUGUCCUCUGUGGAGUGGACACCACUUGGCUUGCUGUAUACUCCGAAGGCUGAGAAUUCUAAUUUGGGGGUCCCAGGGCCCAGGAACUGCUGCCGAGCAGCCAGGAAAUCGAUUUGCUCCGUGUCCACCAAGAUCUCCUCUGUGAAUGAAGACCGGGGAUGGCUGGCGAUCCUGGGGUCCCUAUGGUCUGAUGAAGCCUGGAGUGUGGCCACUGUGCCACCCUUCCUGACCGCCUGGCUCUGGAUGACUGCCCAGCGCUCGGCCUCCAGGUCCCUCGGCUGCCUGCAGAAGGCAUUGCUGCCGGCAUCCACGCGUUUCCCAAAUCUACAGGGCAGCCCUGGAGCCCCAGUCCAUGCUCAAGGCCACAACCUGACUGCACAGUCCAGAGGGUCACCAAUCUCAAGCGUAUACUCCAGCCCCUCACUGGGGACUUCUAGGAAGGGGAUCCGUUCUGGACCACACCCCCAGCCCCUCACUGGGGGAUUCUAGGCAGUGGCUUCACCUCAUCCCUGAUCAUGCCCUAGCUUCUCACUGUGGGAUUCAAGGCAGGGCUCACCCAUGACCACAACCCAACCCCUCACUGGGGUAAUUCUAGAUAGGGCUCCACCCCUGACUAUGCCCCCAGCCUCUCACUGGGGGAUUCUAGGAAGGGGAUCCAUUACUGACCACAUCCCCAGCCCCUCACUGGGGGAUUCUAGACAGGGAUCCACCCCUGACCACGCCCCUAGCCUCUCAUUGGGGGAUUCUAGGCAGGAGCUCCACCUAAACCACGCCCCAGCCCCUCACUGGAGGAUUCUAGGCAGGGGCUCCACCUAAACCACGCCCCAGCCCCUCACUGGGGGAUUCUAGGCAGGAGCUCCACCUAAACCACGCCCCAGCCCCUCACUGGGGGAUUCUAGGCGCGGCUCUACCCUUGAGCCCUGUUCCUGCCCACUCUUCCUUGUAUUUUGAAGCAGAGUGUCUUAAGCGGCUGGGCUUUCCCAGCACUCUAGCGGUCCUGUGGCGGAUACUCCCCCUUCCCCUUCCACAGCACUCUGAGAAGGGGAGAAUUUCAUUCUGUGUGGCUGGGUAGUCCUAAUGCAUACAGCAAGUACUUAGUCAAGGCUGGCUCAACGGACCCUGCUGCUCCUGGGUGCUCAGUCCGUGGCUUUCCAACUGCCUCCCAUCCUCUAGUCCAGAGCUGUAGUGCACCCAUGUUUGCAGGCUGACAGAUAUGUCGGGUAGUUUAUGACCCUUGUCAUCGGACAGUCAGACAUGACCUCUGGAGAAAGGGUUUCACCCUUCUAUAGGUGGAGUUCUCAUUCUUCUCCCGUGAUUCAGGUCAGAAGGUGGAGUUCUGGGGCAGGAUUCAAGGCCACUGGGUCCUUCUCUGAUAUGGGUUUGGCUGGCAGGACAACCUUCCCAAGGACCUAUAAAACUGAGUUUUUCUGGGUGUAGUGGCCCACUCCUUUAGCCCCAGUGGGAUGCAGAGGCAGGAGGAUCUCUGUGAGUUCUAGGCCAGCCAGGGCUACACAGGGAGGCCCUGUCUCCAAAAACCAAAAAACAACAAUAAUGAAAACAAUAAAACCUAAUUCAGCUUUAGGGGCCUGGUAAUGCAGUAAACAUUCAAUAGUAAGCUUCACACUGCUGGAGAUCUGAUCACUGAGGUUUCAAAUCCAGCAGGGGUCUCAGGGUCUCCUAAAGGGCCAGUGCUUAGAGUUAGGGGACAGUCUGAAGAAGCUCUGUUGGCUGCAAAGGAUCCCCUUAAGGUUGUCUUCUCCCCACCGGGUCACUUGUUAGUCCUUGUCCAUCAGUCCAUCAAUCACCUCUUUCAGGGCACAUGAGAACUGGGAAGAGGGCACCAAUUUUGUCUCUGCCCUGAAGAAACUUGGGCAUAGGCAAUUGAAGCUAGAAGUUCACAGAGCUGAUGGGGUACUUUCCAAAGGCCAUUCUUUCCCAAUUACCACCAAGGCUCCAAGAAGCCUGCUCCACCCAGAGGCACCUGGAACUGUGACUCCCUAUUGAAACUGGGUUUAUGGUCCCUGUGGGUGCACUUGCUUCCUCUGGCCUCCUACCCACAGGGCAAAGGGCUCCUGGGUGGGGCCACCACCUAGUAAGGUGGUGCCCUUAGGAGACCUCUAUCCUGUCCCUUCAGAACUUUUUGUUGCCUAGAUAGUUGGCCUUGGGGAAACCUGUCAAGGUUUACCUCUGACCCUGGACUCUGGAGAAGCCUGAGCCUCAACCCAGGCCAUGGCUCCUCUGGUUUCUUCAAAGCAGGCCCUGAAUCCAUGGGUCUUCACAGACCUCUGGCCACGAGGGUGUCCUUGGUUCCAGCCUCUUUCUCAGUGAACUAUGAUUUGGCGUUCCGGCAUUUGGGGUACAAAUGGAAACCUUAUCCGUAUCAGGCCCAGGGUCUCUUUUGGGUUAGCUGGUGGCAGAGCAGGUUCUGAAAUCCAGGAGGACAACAUGGGGCCCCAGCCAAGGCCAAGGCUGGUGAGGUACAGACUGGGAUGGGGGUUCCCUGCCGCCCCCAGUUGGCGAGCCAGCCCUGCCAGUAGACACACCUCAAACAGACCCCUUCUCCUUCUGUGAGUGCCUCACCUUUCCCUGCUCCGGACUCCCAACUUCCAGGACUCCCAGCGUCCCCAGCCUCACAUGCCAGCUUCAGGUGCCCAGGCCACCUCCCAGCCUCAGGCUCUGCAGGAAAGGCCCCUGGACUCCGCCCUGGCCACAUGUUGCCAAGGGAACGGAGGCCCCACCCAGGAGCAGGUGCGCCCCUCCUCUCCGUCCCCACCCGGACAUGGGAAACAAAGUCCAGAGGAGACAGAAAAACGAUACUCCGGGCUGACGAGGGCGGGCACUGUGCCCGCUGCAGGCCUUGGUCUUACAGAGCCGGAACUGAGCCUGGGCUUCCCACCUUUCUCAAGUCCCGCUGAGGAGGGCCGUACCCCUGCGGAACGGGGAGACAGAAUCCCAAGACUGCGCUGACUCGUGAAACCCCUUUGAAUCUGUGUCUUCUUUCAAUUAGUGCCCUCUUUGAUCCAGGUAGACUGAAAAACAGAUGUGCGUGAUGAUCCCAGCCGAGCAGAUAGCACAGCAGGACCCGGAAACUCGGAGAUCUGAAGUUCUGGCUCCUACUCUGACCCUGCUCAACCCUCUUACCCUUCCUCGUCCAGGAAAUGGGGAUUCUCCCUGUCACAUGCACACCAGAGUUCACAUGAAGUAAUGAUGCCUUCAGAAACACCCAGCGAAGCCAGAAGUACAGAGAAAGGGCCUGUCACCCCCAGCAAUAGGGGGCCUGAGGCAGUGGGAUUGCUAUUUGAGGCCAGGUUUGGCUACAGAGUGAGACCUCUCUCAAAAACUCAAAAAUAAACGUAGAAAAUGUUCAGGAACACUGGCUGGACAGGUCCAGUGCCAUGUGAGGUGAGGGCCAAGGCACCCACCAGCCCCCUCGGGGACCAAGUGGUUCUGGCAGCCCAUGGCCUGAGGGACCAGAGCAUAUAGUGCUGGGGUUCCUGACCUCCCCCCUGGACUGGUUUGUGGGCCCCCUCUGAAUCUCUGUCUUUCCCUCCAGUCAGUGGUCCCUCAGCCUGACUCCAGGGGCCUUUGACAGAUGUGGUGACAGAGCCUGCCCAUCGCCGACCACCGAGGAGACGCUCAAAGGCAGGGUGUGCCAUAGCAGUUCUUCCCAGAGCCCCUUCGGGCCCUGUCAUCCCUAUUUGGUAAAGUGCAGGGCAUAUCCAGUCCCACAGUCAGUGGGAUUUGAAUGAGCACCUCUCUCCUUACAUUGUAGACACUCCGCCUUUACCAACCACCUUUCACAGGGGAACUGAGUCCCGAAAGGACCUCCGAUUGAGCCCACACACCUGACAUCUCGGUACUCAGGAAACUGAUGCAGGAGGAUUACUGCGAGUUUGAGGUCUCAAGUCUGAAAUACCCCAUGUGUUGGGGACACUGUACUUCUAGACAGCCAUUUUAUACAGAUAGGGAAACUGAGGCCAAAGGAGAAAAUUUUCUCCAAAACCAAAGGGAGGGAAAAAGAGGGGAGUGUCCCCUACUCUGCAGAACCUAGCUCAGAACUUGUGGGGUAUCUGUAAGGACCUCUCAAUUCCCAACAUCACAGCCCAAGGACAUGGGUGUGGCAGAUGUGGAGACUGAGGUCCUGGGGGUGUUUACCCACAGCUGUCCCUUACCUGUCCAGGUGCCAGCAGGGUCCUGGAGGAGAUGCCCAGUGAGGAGCUCACCCUGAGGGCAGCAGUGGCCACGGGGAAGAGAAGCCUUCUCCUGCGUCCUGCAGGGCCUGGCCUUUUAUGGCUCCACCAGGAGGCCGCACCCCUUCCCGCCCAGAUGAAACCCAAGAACUUCAGCAACCUGGCUCUGCACACUUUUUUUUUUUUUUUUAAUCUGUUUCUCUGGGAAAGUCAAGAACAUGGGGGUGAAGGGUGGGGCCUCGUCACACGUCAAAAGCAGAAGGGGGCAGCAAGGGCACUUCAGCCGAGGCUCAGGGCUUGAGGAACUCAGGCAGAAUCAGAGGAGGAGGAAAAGGAGGGGCACCAUGACCGUGGCCAUGGGUCACCCCUCAGUGAAGAGCGCCUCUCCUCCAGGCCACGGGAAGGACGGGACACAGACCCCGUCGUGGCCUCUGCUUGUGGCCCUACUGCAGCUGCGGGUAGUGACGGGACUCUGCAGGGGGUCCUGUGCCCUGCUGCACACCAGGCUGGAGUCCCAAGAAAGGGACCUGGACCGGGCGUGGUCCUUUGAAGCUGAGUCAGCGCCUGUGUGCAAGGUUGUGCCUCUGGGGACCAAAGUGGCUACUGCUGCCUGUCUGCCCGAAGGUUGGUGACCUCCUGCCAGGCUCCCGUCUGGCCAGGUGGCAGGUGGGGGGUUCCCUUACUCCCACCCAAGGUGUGUGUGUGGAGCAACCUAAUCCUGCCUGGAAACGCUAGGCUUUGCAGUGCUGGCAGACAUACCCACUGACUUCUGGGGUAUGGGGGUAUGUGGGAAACCCAGGACCCUGGUCCAAGCCAACUAGAGAAGAGGGCAGAGGUGACCCCGAAGGUCCCAAAAUUAGCACCAGGAAGAAGGGCCCAGUGUGUGCAUGGAGGGGAGGGGACACUUAGGACAGGGAGUGGCUUGGCUGACCAACAAUGACUCCAUCUUGUGGGUGACUGUUCCAUCCCCAGUGAAGGGCUUCUCCUGUUUUGAGCUCCGCUACCUACUGGAGGGGAUCCACAGGUGCCCGUCCUCCACGUUAGGACGUCAAGACUUUGAGUCCCCAAAGAAGUGUGGCCUCAUCUCACUUGCCCACAUUUGGCUGCUGGCGCCUUGGCCAGGGAGAGCCUUUCUGGUCCCCUCGGAGACUCCCCAAAAGUAACAAUAAGGCACAGACAGGCUGGCCUGGGGCGGCAAGGGGACACCAGGCUGGGACCAUGGUGGGCAUAAGCCACCUGUGUAAACCUGCUGUGACCUGGACUGGGGGGAUCCCCAUUCUUAGAGGGGCUGAUAAGGGUCAGCCUGUCUCUCACCAAGGGAUGACACACGGCUCAGAGGUACGGGGUGAGUGUGGAGUGUGGUGACGGGCACAGCACCCCCCACCCGCGACUCGAGGUGCAUAGGGACCACACACGUGUCUGGGGCCUGUGAGGCGGAGGGUGAAGGUGGGCAGGCGCCGGGGAGGGCCGGGCUGCUGGGUUUGAGUGUGGAGCAUAGGACAGGGACCGGGGACUGGGGUGCCCCGACGGCUCACAUGACAGAACAGCAUCUACAGCGAGGCUUCUUCAUGUCAAGAUCUUGGGUGUCGCUGGGUGUGGUCGUGGGCCCCGUCUGGUUCUCCUCCUUGGUGGCUGGGAGCUCAGC
Molecule: non-coding RNA, 6768 nt
Organism: Rattus norvegicus (Norway rat)
Lineage: Eukaryota; Metazoa; Chordata; Mammalia; Rodentia; Muridae
Source: RefSeq, a predicted model, not a curated record